AGAUAAUAAUUAUGUUUAAGAGACAGAGUUAGACCAUUUAAUGGCAUUAAGCGAUAUGGGCCAUUUCCUUCAUAGGCCCAUUGUUAGAUAAGAUUUCCAAUUACGAUUAGAUAUUGCGUGUUACAAACGUUCCUUUUGACUUUUGAGUCAUCAUCACCAUGCCGAGAAGAAUCAUUUUCUCUCACCUCGGAUUCCUAGCCGCCGAUGUCAUCGAUGUUUCAGUUCGUUAAUCGAUAGUCUCCCACCACCAUCGGCUUCUAUCUAGCCACCAUCACCAGACCCGUCGGCUUCUAUCUUUCCACGAUUACCAGUCCCUAAUCGAUCAACCAUUUGAGCUUCUUCAUUCAUUAUACUUGUACACUUCAGCUCCAUAUCAGGAUCUUGGUUUGGAUGCUUGGGUUCGCUAACUUGUUUUCAAGAGCAUAAGGUCGUUAAGGCAACCGACGUGAUUGGAUAAGGGAAUAUAUAUUCGACAGUCAAUCUAGCAAAACAGGAUCCAAAUAUGUUUAAACCGGGUUGGUUAGGAUCCGCGUCCCAUAUCCAAUAUAAUGACUUCGUUGCCCUUAAAUUUCUUUUUUUUCUCUUCUUCCUUUUUUUCUUGCGUAGGGGCAAUAUGUGGAAUUUUUGGAAAAAGUUUUUUUUUUCUCUUCUUUUGUACUUCCGAUUUAAUAGUAUAGAUAUAGAAACAGUUCAUUUCA
Molecule: long non-coding RNA, 698 nt
Organism: Camelina sativa (false flax)
Lineage: Eukaryota; Viridiplantae; Streptophyta; Magnoliopsida; Brassicales; Brassicaceae
Source: RefSeq, a predicted model, not a curated record